AUAUUACAGUGACACGUUUUUUUUCAUAUUUUUCUUAAUACUUAAUAAAUUUAAAUAAAUUUUGGCACUUUCCUGGUAUAUUGGUAUAUUUAUUUAAAAUCUUAUCGUUGCAACUCUGUGCAUGAGUUGUUAUUGCUUGGAAAACAGAAGUGGGAAUAGGAAAUGAAAAACAGUUACGUUAAAUUUUAUUUUCUGUGCAAAUAAUUUUUUCGGUUGCGCUUUUAUAAAUGUGAAAUAUUAGUGUUAAUGUUAAAUGUGUUUAUUUGUGAAUGCUAAAUGCAAAUGAAAAUGUGUUAAGUGAAAAGUGUUGUGCAUUUAAAUUGUUUUUGUGGCUUUAUUGACAUGCAUGUCGCGGCGCAAUAGCGAGAUAAUUUGAAGCCCUCAAAACAAGCCACAAAAAUCUCCAAAACUACUUGCAUAAGCGUUUUUCAACCAAUGAUAAAUAACAAUUAUACAGCAUCUCCAUACGAAACAUAUCAGUAGCAUAUCGAAGAGAAGGUGAAUUGCCGGAUUUUAUUUUUUGGAGAAGACUCAAUACCUCUCAGCUUAGCUCUUUGCAUAGCAGGCACACAGAUGGAACAGUAGAUCCAACGUUUCCAAGAUAACUGUAACGCAGUAAAAUUACUGGGAAAAAAUAUAUUCAACUGCAGAGGAAGUAUUGAAAAAUAUUUGUCCAACUCUACAUUUUUACUUGGUUUACGGCACCAUUUUCGCAUGUAUUUGUGAAUACAAAACGUUUUUGGAGAGCAGAACAUACAUAGAUAUAAGGCUUUAUUUUAGUUUAAUUAUAAUAUUAUUUAUUUCAUUUUAUGUAUUAUUUAAUAUU
Long non-coding RNA from Zeugodacus cucurbitae (melon fly), 826 nucleotides. RefSeq lists it as uncharacterized. The record is from RefSeq and is a predicted model, not a curated record. Lineage: Eukaryota; Metazoa; Arthropoda; Insecta; Diptera; Tephritidae. The transcript is spliced from 5 exons.